This 266-nucleotide ribosomal RNA is filed under the name uncultured bacterium. Its description in RNAcentral is "partial 16S ribosomal RNA". It matches the Rfam family "Bacterial small subunit ribosomal RNA", at positions 793 to 1055 of the family's 1533-position model. The record is from RNAcentral.
GUCCACGCCGUAAACGAUGGGUACUAGGUGUCUGGGGGAGCGACCCCCUGGGUGCCGGCGCUAACGCAUGAAGUACCCCGCCUGGGGAGUACGGCCGCAAGGCUGAAACUCAAAGGAAUUGACGGGGGCCCCGCACAAGUGGUGGAGCAUGUGGUUUAAUUCGACGCAACGCGAAGAACCUUACCUAGGCUUGACAUGCUGGAGAAAGCUCGCAGAAACGUGAGCCCCUCUUCGGAGUUCCAGCACAGAUGCUGCAUGGCUGUCGU